RNAcentral lists this ribosomal RNA (390 nucleotides) under uncultured bacterium. RNAcentral's name for it is "bacterial SSU rRNA". It matches the Rfam family "Bacterial small subunit ribosomal RNA", at positions 28 to 418 of the family's 1533-position model. The record is from RNAcentral.
GACGAACGCUGGCGGCGUGCCUAACACAUGCAAGUCAACUUGACUGAAGGAGCAAUCUGACAGUAGAGUGGCGCAAGGGUGCGUAACGCGUAAGUAACUUGCCCCAAGGUAAGGAAUAAACGUCGAGAAAUCGGCGCUAAUACCUCAUAAUGCAGCGGAUCCGCAUGGAUAUGUUGUUAAAGGUUUACCGCCUUGGGAUAGGCUUGCGUCUGAUUAGCUAGUUGGUGUGGUAACGGCACACCAAGGCUACGAUCAGUAACUGGUCUGAGAGGAUGAUCAGUCACACUGGAACUGAGACACGGUCCAGACUCCUACGGGAGGCAGCAGUGAGGAAUAUUGGGCAAUGCUCGAAGAGUGACCCAGCAACGCCGCGUGGAGGAUGAAGGUAUU